GCAGGUUCGAAUCCUGCACGACCCACCAGUUUUAGCAUCGAAGACAGAUGUUAAGCGUGUAGGAUAACGUUGCGUCAGCAACGGCCCGUAGGGCGAGCGAAGCGAGUCAUCCUGCACGACCCACCA
RNAcentral lists this small RNA (126 nucleotides) under Escherichia coli. Its description in RNAcentral is "partial RtT sRNA". It matches the Rfam family "RtT RNA", at positions 37 to 130 of the family's 130-position model. Rfam says of the family: This family represents a bacterial cis-regulatory element known as RtT RNA. Lineage: Bacteria; Pseudomonadati; Pseudomonadota; Gammaproteobacteria; Enterobacterales; Enterobacteriaceae. The record is from RNAcentral.